UCAGAUUGAACGCUGGCGGCAGGCCUANCACAUGCAAGUCGAGCGGUAGAGAGAAGCUUGCUUCUCUUGAGAGCGGCGGACGGGUGAGUAAUGCCUAGGAAUCUGCCUGGUAGUGGGGGAUAACGUUCGGAAACGGACGCUAAUACCGCAUACGUCCUACGGGAGAAAGCAGGGGACCUUCGGGCCUUGCGCUAUCAGAUGAGCCUAGGUCGGAUUAGCUAGUUGGUGGGGUAAUGGCUCACCAAGGCGACGAUCCGUAACUGGUCUGAGAGGAUGAUCAGUCACACUGGAACUGAGACACGGUCCAGACUCCUACGGGAGGCAGCAGUGGGGAAUAUUGGACAAUGGGCGAAAGCCUGAUCCAGCCAUGCCGCGUGUGUGAAGAAGGUCUUCGGAUUGUAAAGCACUUUAAGUUGGGAGGAAGGGCAGUUGCCUAAUACGUAACUGUUUUGACGUUACCGACAGAAUAAGCACCGGCUAACUCUGUGCCAGCAGCCGCGGUAAUACAGAGGGUGCAAGCGUUAAUCGGAAUUACUGGGCGUAAAGCGCGCGUAGGUGGUUUGUUAAGUUGGAUGUGAAAUCCCCGGGCUCAACCUGGGAACUGCAUUCAAAACUGACUGACUAGAGUAUGGUAGAGGGUGGUGGAAUUUCCUGUGUAGCGGUGAAAUGCGUAGAUAUAGGAAGGAACACCAGUGGCGAAGGCGACCACCUGGACUAAUACUGACACUGAGGUGCGAAAGCGUGGGGAGCAAACAGGAUUAGAUACCCUGGUAGUCCACGCCGUAAACGAUGUCAACUAGCCGUUGGAAGCCUUGAGCUUUUAGUNGCGCAGCUAACGCAUUAAGUGACCG
This 851-nucleotide ribosomal RNA is filed under the name gamma proteobacterium 7.1.23_S. Its description in RNAcentral is "bacterial SSU rRNA". It matches the Rfam family "Bacterial small subunit ribosomal RNA", at positions 24 to 871 of the family's 1533-position model. The record is from RNAcentral. Lineage: Bacteria; Pseudomonadati; Pseudomonadota; Gammaproteobacteria.